AACCAAGAGUCACCUCCUUUCCUCAUUUCACAGGCAAUUACCGUGUUCGAUGGAGUGAAAGGACUUCCGCCAUUGCUUUUAACCUCCUCGUACACCUUAUACCGCUGGGAAGAAGAAACACUUUUCCCUCCCACAUUUUUUUAAAAUGCAAACUUACGAUUAUUUCUUAAAUCUUAAUACAAUUUUAACAAAUCUAACAAUCAUCAAAUUUGCAGCAGAGGUGAGAUAAAGAUAAAGGGAAUAAAGACGAUUUGUUAGUCCAUUUGAAGCGACGACAGUUCCCAGAAAUAAAGCACAGUAUCAAAUGCUGGUGUUUUGUGUUGUUUGGGCAAUCAUUUCAUAGCCAAUAAAUAUUCUUCUUUGUGUGCAUAUCUGUGUCUAUGUCCUUACAGGUAGGAAGUCAGAGUUCAGCCUUAGGUGUUCUUCUUCUGGUUCCAGGGACCUUGUUUUUGGAGACAAUGUCAUUUUAACUUGCCUGGAGCUCACCAAGUAGACUCUACUGGCAGAGUAGAGUAAAGCCCCAGAGAGUAUUCUGCCACGUCUAACCUUUUCUUUUCACGUGGUUUUUGGGGAUGCAACUCUGGUCGAAUGCCUCCAAGGCAAGCACUCUGCCAACUUAGCUACUGCUAUAGCUCCAAUAUUCAACUAUAUGUUUUUUUAUAAUAAUUGACUUGGUUGGGUGAUUCUCAUUAGUUAAACUUCAGUCACAUACAACCUACAUUAUUUAAGGGAUAAUUUAAUUGAAAUUUCAUGUUGAAACUGAACUUGGGAAGGCAUUACUUCAGAGGGAAAACGUUAUAACCAAUGCAGUAAAAAUAACGCCAUAAAUUGACUUGUGGGUGGUAAGUUGAUCAAAAUAAAGGAUUUAAAAUAAAACUCUCAAAGCAUUUGAUAUUCUAUAUAGCAAUAAAUCAGAAUAAGUAGUCAACCUCCACAUUCUUAAUCAGCCUUGGUACUCUUGUUUUUGAUUAACAGGACAUGUGUGGCUCCUAUCUCAAUCCUAUCUCGCACCCUCUAGCUCUCAAAACAGAUUUUUUUUAAAGCUGUAACUGAGUUCUUUAUUUAAAAAAAAAACACUUUUCAUUUUAAUAGAAACAGAAUAUGCCAUUUCAAAGAUUUGAGGCACAAUGCUUCAAAGAAUUAAAACAAAUGGCCGAAGUAAGUACGAUCAAUGUACACUGUAAAGCAUGACCCCCUUGCCAGGAAAUCUUUUGUGAUUUUUGAUGGGAAAUGGAAGAUAAUUAUCCUAAAGUCCAAGGACCACAAUGCAAGGAACAGAAAGCAAAAUUAGCUUAAGUGUCAAUACUUUUGAAAGUGGCAUUUUUUUUUCCGAAUCAACCAUAAAUACCGUAUUUGAGGAAUGCAGUCACAAAAGGCUUGCUUGCACUUAAUAUCAAAAUCUCUCAUUUCAAACGGCACCAGCACAGUGAUUCUGCUCCUCUCAACUCAAAACUCAGAACAUCAACUGCUAACGUCAACUCCUUGUCCCAAAGAAGACCUUUGGAUUUGCUUGGCCGUACGUUACGCGAAGGAUAUUAACCUUGAUCAUGACGAAGCCAUAGUUUUCCAAGUAGCCAGCACAUACUGAGGAAGGGCUGCCCUCCACAGCACAAGUUAGAAAGCAUGGGAAGCACAGAUUGCUUCUUCAGGGUAAGCCUGUUCCUUUGUUGUCUUUUCCCACCUUUUCCACUCUCUGAACCAGAAAGAUUUACUUCUGUACUCUAAGGAAGUUUGAGCCAUUGAGCUUAGACAUUCUCUGACCACAACCUCUGACAAUCUAUAAAAAAACAAAAGACAAACACACACACACACACACACACACACACACACACACACACACACACACACACACACACACACCUGCCCCUUCCCUGACAAAGUUUCCUCGUGCUGUGGCUGCAUGAUGUGGUUCUAGGUAGUUCUUUUAGACUCUGUCAUGCACUGCAGCCACCAAGAUGAACUGGAAAGGAUCUACCGUUAGCGCGCAUGAUGUAGCUUGCAGCGAUCAGGGUCUGUAUAAAUAAAUCUAAAGCUCUUUCAACCUCUCUUCUCCACCUGACCUUUGGGGAGCCCCACUCAUCGCCUCUGGGUUUUAUUAAAGAGUGGCAGAGAAUGGGGAACAGCUAGCACGCUGGGCUAGUGGGUGUAUCCAAGGUUCUCAGUGUGGGGCAAGUUUCUAAAAGCAACAGAAUGUUCAAACACGGGUCUGGGACAGUAAAAGAUGGCUGUCCUCAACAUCAGCGGUUCUAAAACCGCUCUAGACCAAGCUGAAACAAAGGAGAAAUGGAGUAAAGCAACAACGUGAAAUCUCCAGUCCUGCUCAAGCCAGCAUCCUGCAUCUCGCUUGCCUCUAGCCAGGACACGCCCCUCUGGACAGAUUUGGGAAACUAUCACCUACUUGGGGGAGGGGCGGGAAUGGCUUUUGGGUUAGCACUAAGGUCCCUUUCUUCACCUUUCGAGCCAGACGGAAGGAACAACUGCAAGAGCGAGGAAAGUGAAUAAAGCUGAGCAGCAAUGUCAGACAUCACCAGGCCAGCCUUGCAGUCGUACUCUCCUCCUAGACCUAUGGUUCCUGUGAUCCCUUCGCAAGAAUUUCCACUCUGCUGUCUUUACAGUGAGAAGACUGAAAGCCUCUGAGUCCUCAUCCGAAUGGAUCUCAGCUGAACUGCUGCUAAAAGCUAAAAGCUUACAAAGGCUCUAGUUCCUGAUCCUCAUGCCUUAUAUACCUUUCUGCUUCCUGCCAUCACUUCCUGGGAUUAAAGGCGUGUGUCACCAUGCCUGGCUGUUUCCAGUGUGGUUCUGAACUCCUAAAUGCUAGGAUUAAAGCUGCUGCUUGCAGAUGCUGCUGGCACCUGUAUUGGGCAACAUCCCCACGUCAGAGCAGAUGAGUACCCUUCCAAGAGGCUAAAGUUGACACAAUUUCCCUAUCACUUGCAGUUUUACUUUGGAGGCAGCUCUAUGGAACCUGCCCCCAUUCAGGCUGGAGAUCUUGAUUAUGCAACACAAUAUGAAAGCUUUUUUUUCUUUUUGUGGCAAUGUUUUAUUUAUCUUCAGUACUUCUCCGUCCUCUUAUUUCAAGCUGAGAGUCAACCUAUUUGCUUCUCUUGAUCCCAGACAUUUUGCAGAGUUGGAAGUAAAAUCUUCUUGAGAAAAACUGUCAUCCUUAGCUUUGGUAAAAUAUUGCCUCAUGAAUAAGAUCCUCUGGGCUCAUUCCCAACAGCUGAAAUGACAAAGAGAGCAUUGAUCUCAUUGAGUUUCCUGAGGUUGCUACAGUAAUUCAUGACGUCAGUACAUGUGAACGGACACUGGGAGCAUUCUGCGCUUUUACAUUUUUAAUUAUUGCAUGACUAGUAUCCUUUUAGGAAAUCAUACGACCUUUCUUCUGCAGUAUUCCUGUUCGGUCUCUGUGACAUAGGUGGAGCUGACUAUCUUUAGCCAUAGCAAUGCUCUGGCCACCAUUCAGCCUCAGUCAUGUGACCCAUGACCCUCCCAAGAGUGAUUGCUGGAAGAACAUUGCUUUCCUUUCUUUACGAACUUCUGGAGCCUCAGGCACAUGGGGUCACUUCAGUCAUGACAGUUAGAAAAUGGAGCCAUGUUGAUGAGAGGAGCUGGAUGUUUGGAAAUCCAGCAGUGUUUGGAAACCCACUUUUUGGAAUUUUUGUGAUGUGAGGCAGUUGAUGCUGUAUUUUAUCUAACACUAGAUUGUGUUAGAGUUGUUUCAUUCAUUACAAGUAGGAUUUUCAAGAAAACAGGGGUAAGUGUGCUUUAAAUAUGGCUCCUUUUGAAAGGCUACAUUAUAGUCAUUUAAAGAUUAUUUAUGCUGUAAGUAAUCAGACCUCAAAUCUUUCUCUUCCUAUCUAUGAAUAUGUUCCUUGAAUACCUUGGACCUCAGUUUGCUUCCUUCUCUGGCAUAAUCAGCAUAGAUCUCAUUUAUUGCAGAUUAUUAAUAGAAACUGUGUGUGUAUGUAUGUGUGUGUGUGUGUGAGUGUGUGUGUAUGU
Peromyscus californicus insignis is the source of this 3999-nucleotide long non-coding RNA. RefSeq lists it as uncharacterized. The record is from RefSeq and is a predicted model, not a curated record. NCBI's taxonomy places the organism in Eukaryota, Metazoa, Chordata, Mammalia, Rodentia, Cricetidae. The transcript has 5 exons.